UCGUGAAUGUCGAAUUAUCUUUUUUUCUUCUUUUCUCGUUGUAAAGUGUGUCGGAGUAUGGCUCAUUUGCUUGGCAGGGGGGCAUGGGAUGAAUAAAAUAGCGUCUGGUGAUGUUCUUGGACCACAAUCACAUACGAUGGAAUUAUGAUGUCGAUCAAAUCAAUAGUGUAGUCCGUCCGUGUAGCAUGAUACUCCGUACUUACGUCCAUAAUCCAUUUUGUUACUCACUCCGUUUCUAAUUGCAC
RNAcentral lists this long non-coding RNA (245 nucleotides) under Brachypodium distachyon (stiff brome). RNAcentral describes it as "long non-coding RNA (BDIS_LNC003733)". The record is from RNAcentral. Lineage: Eukaryota; Viridiplantae; Streptophyta; Magnoliopsida; Poales; Poaceae.